AGUGAACGCUGGCGGUAGGCCUAACACAUGCAAGUCGAACGGCAGCACAGUAAGAGCUUGCUCUUACGGGUGGCGAGUGGCGGACGGGUGAGGAAUACAUCGGAAUCUACUUUUUCGUGGGGGAUCACGUAGGGAAACUUACGCUCAUACCGCAUACGACCUACGGGUGAAAGCAGGGGAUCUUCGGACCUUGCGCGAUUGAAUGAGCCGAUGUCGGAUUAGCUAGUUGGCGGGGUAAAGGCCCACCCAGGCGACGAUCCGUAGCUGGUCUGAGAGGAUGAUCAGCCACACUGGAACUGAGACACGGUCCAGACUCCUACGGGAGGCAGCAGUGGGGAAUAUUGGACAAUGGGCGCAAGCCUGAUCCAGCCAUACCGCGUGGGUGAAGAAGGCCUUCGGGUUGUAAAGCCCUUUUGUUGGGAAAGAAAAGCAGCAGGUUAAUACCCCGCUGUUCUGACGGUACCCAAAGAAUAAGCACCGGCUAACUUCGUG
RNAcentral lists this ribosomal RNA (492 nucleotides) under uncultured bacterium. Its description in RNAcentral is "partial 16S ribosomal RNA". It matches the Rfam family "Bacterial small subunit ribosomal RNA", at positions 29 to 507 of the family's 1533-position model. The record is from RNAcentral.